This 70-nucleotide transfer RNA is filed under the name Planctomycetota bacterium. RNAcentral describes it as "tRNA-Gln". It matches the Rfam family "tRNA". From Rfam's summary of the family: Transfer RNA (tRNA) molecules are approximately 80 nucleotides in length. Their secondary structure includes four short double-helical elements and three loops (D, anti-codon, and T loops). The record is from RNAcentral. Lineage: Bacteria; Pseudomonadati; Planctomycetota. RNAcentral also lists the same sequence under 1 other name.
GCCCAGUGGGGUAACGGCAUCCCACCGGACCUUGACUCCGGGGAUGGCGGUUCGAAUCCGCCCUGGGCCG